RNAcentral lists this ribosomal RNA (542 nucleotides) under uncultured bacterium. RNAcentral describes it as "bacterial LSU rRNA". It matches the Rfam family "Bacterial large subunit ribosomal RNA", at positions 1542 to 2073 of the family's 2925-position model. The record is from RNAcentral.
CCGGGGGGGCGUGAGCUGAGGCGUGAUGACGAGGCACUACGGUGCUGAAGUGAUUGAUACCAAGCUUCCAGGAAAAAGCCACUAAGCUUCAGUCUAGAAUUGACCGUACCGCAAACCGACACAGGUGGGCAGGAUGAAAAUUCUAAGGCGCUUGAGAGAACUCAGGAGAAGGAACUCGGCAAAUUAACACCGUAACUUCGGGAGAAGGUGUGCCCCGGUAGGUUGUAGAGCCUCGCGCUCGAAGGCCGAUGGGGUUGCAGUGAAAUGGUGGCUGCGACUGUUUAUAAAAACACAGCACUCUGCAAACACGAAAGUGGACGUAUAGGGUGUGACGCCUGCCCGGUGCCGGAAGGUUAAUUGAUGGGGUGCAAGCCCUUGAUCGAAGCCCCGGUAAACGGCGGCCGUAACAAUAACGGUCCUAAGGUAGCGAAAUUCCUUGUCGGGGUAAGUUCCGACCUGCACGAAUGGCGUAACGAUGGCCACACUGUCUCCUCCUGAGACUCAGCGAAGUUGAAAUGUUUGUGAAGAUGCAAUCUCCCCGC